RNAcentral lists this ribosomal RNA (484 nucleotides) under uncultured bacterium. RNAcentral's name for it is "partial 16S ribosomal RNA". It matches the Rfam family "Bacterial small subunit ribosomal RNA", at positions 30 to 507 of the family's 1533-position model. The record is from RNAcentral.
AUUGAACGCUGGCGGCAGGCCUAACACAUGCAAGUCGAGCGGAUGAAGGGAGCUUGCUCCUGGAUUCAGCGGCGGACGGGUGAGUAAUGCCUAGGAAUCUGCCUGGUAGUGGGGUAUAACGUCCGGAAACGGGCGCUAAUACCGCAUACGUCCUGAGGGAGAAAGUGGGGGAUCUUCGGACCUCACGCUAUCAGAUGAGCCUAGGUCGGAUUAGCUAGUUGGUGGGGUAAAGGCCUACCAAGGCGACGAUCCGUAACUGGUCUGAGAGGAUGAUCAGUCACACUGGAACUGAGACACGGUCCAGACUCCUACGGGAGGCAGCAGUGGGGAAUAUUGGACAGUGGGCGAAAGCCUGAUCCAGCCAUGCCGCGUGUGUGAAGAAGGUCUUCGGAUUGUAAAGCACUUUAAGUUGGGAGGAAGGGCAGUAAGUUAAUACCUUGCUGUUUUGACGGUACCAGCAGAAUAAGCACCGGCUAACUUCGUG